Molecule: ribosomal RNA, 908 nt
Filed under: Bacillus sp. (in: firmicutes)
Lineage: Bacteria; Bacillati; Bacillota; Bacilli; Caryophanales; Bacillaceae
Description: bacterial SSU rRNA
Rfam family: Bacterial small subunit ribosomal RNA
Source: RNAcentral
ACUAGCAAGUCGAGCGGACUUUUCAAAAGCUUGCUUUUGGAAAGUCAGCGGCGGACGGGUGAGUAACACGUGGGCAACCUGCCUGUAAGACUGGGAUAACUUCGGGAAACCGGAGCUAAUACCGGAUAAUAGAAGGAACCUCCUGGUUCUUUAUUGAAAGAUGGUUUCGGCUAUCACUUACAGAUGGGCCCGCGGCGCAUUAGCUAGUUGGUGAGGUAACGGCUCACCAAGGCGACGAUGCGUAGCCGACCUGAGAGGGUGAUCGGCCACACUGGGACUGAGACACGGCCCAGACUCCUACGGGAGGCAGCAGUAGGGAAUCUUCCACAAUGGACGAAAGUCUGAUGGAGCAACGCCGCGUGAGCGAUGAAGGCCUUCGGGUCGUAAAGCUCUGUUGUUAGGGAAGAACAAGUGCGAGAGUAACUGCUCGCACCAUGACGGUACCUAACCAGAAAGCCACGGCUAACUACGUGCCAGCAGCCGCGGUAAUACGUAGGUGGCAAGCGUUGUCCGGAAUUAUUGGGCGUAAAGCGCGCGCAGGUGGUCCUUUAAGUCUGAUGUGAAAGCCCACGGCUCAACCGUGGAGGGUCAUUGGAAACUGGGGGACUUGAGUGCAGAAGAGGAAAGUGGAAUUCCAAGUGUAGCGGUGAAAUGCGUAGAGAUUUGGAGGAACACCAGUGGCGAAGGCGACUUUCUGGUCUGUAACUGACACUGAGGCGCGAAAGCGUGGGGAGCAAACAGGAUUAGAUACCCUGGUAGUCCACGCCGUAAACGAUGAGUGCUAAGUGUUAGAGGGUUUCCGCCCUUUAGUGCUGCAGCUAACGCAUUAAGCACUCCGCCUGGGGAGUACGGUCGCAAGACUGAAACUCAAAGGAAUUGACGGGGGCCCGCACAAGCGGUGGAGCAUG